GAUGAACGCUGGCGGCGUGCCUAAUACAUGCAAGUCGAGCGAACAGACGAGGAGCUUGCUCCUCUUACGUUAGCGGCGGACGGGUGAGUAACACGUGGAUAACCUACCUAUAAGACUGGGAUAACUUCGGGAAACCGGAGCUAAUACCGGAUAAUAUAUUGAACCGCAUGGUUCAAUAGUGAAAGACGGUUUUGCUGUCACUUAUAGAUGGAUCCGCGCCGCAUUAGCUAGUUGGUAAGGUGACGGCUUACCAAGGCAACGAUGCGUAGCCGACCUGAGAGGGUGAUCGGCCACACUGGAACUGAGACACGGUCCAGACUCCUACGGGAGGCAGCAGUAGGGAAUCUUCCGCAAUGGGCGAAAGCCUGACGGAGCAACGCCGCGUGAGUGAUGAAGGUCUUCGGAUCGUAAAACUCUGUUAUUAGGGAAGAACAAAUGUGUAAGUAACUAUGCACGUCUUGACGGUACCUAAUCAGAAAGCCACGGCUAACUACGUG
This 497-nucleotide ribosomal RNA is filed under the name uncultured bacterium. RNAcentral's name for it is "partial 16S ribosomal RNA". It matches the Rfam family "Bacterial small subunit ribosomal RNA", at positions 28 to 507 of the family's 1533-position model. The record is from RNAcentral.